RNAcentral lists this ribosomal RNA (425 nucleotides) under uncultured bacterium. RNAcentral describes it as "bacterial SSU rRNA". It matches the Rfam family "Bacterial small subunit ribosomal RNA", at positions 355 to 771 of the family's 1533-position model. The record is from RNAcentral.
UGGGGAAUAUUGCGCAAUGGACGAAAGUCUGACGCAGCGACGCCGCGUGUGGGAGGAAGCUCUUCGGGGUGUAAACCACUGUCGGAGGGGAAGAACGGCGUCUGGUCGAACAGGCCAGGUGAUUGACGGUACCCUCAAAGGAAGCGCCGGCUAACUCCGUGCCAGCAGCCGCGGUAAGACGGAGGGCGCAAGCGUUGUUCGGAUUUACUGGGCGUAAAGGGCGCGUAGGCGGUUUGUUAAGUCGGAUGUGAAAACUGGGGGCUCAACCCUCAGCCUGCAUCCGAUACUGGCAGACUAGAGUGCGAGAGGGGAAGGCGGAAUUCCUGGUGUAGCGGUGAAAUGCGUAGAUAUCAGGAGGAACACCGGUGGCGAAGGCGGCCUUCUGGAUCGCAACUGACGCUGAGGCGCGAAAGCUAGGGGAGCAA